Long non-coding RNA from Brassica rapa (field mustard), 1666 nucleotides. RefSeq lists it as uncharacterized. The record is from RefSeq and is a predicted model, not a curated record. NCBI's taxonomy places the organism in Eukaryota, Viridiplantae, Streptophyta, Magnoliopsida, Brassicales, Brassicaceae.
UUCGAAAACAUAAAAAAAAUUUACUUUAUAUUUUUUUAUUUUUAUUUUUAUUUUUUUACUUUUUUUUUAUUUAAAUAAUAAUUUAUUAUAUGUAUAAUAAUAAUGGCAUAAGAGUCUUUUGUCACUGAAAAAAGUAUUUUUGAAAAUAUCUCUUUAUUGGUGAUAAAAAUAAAAAGUAACCAUAAAAGUGGUAAACAUGUAAUUAGUGGUCCGAGGUCUACUUUAGGGCCAUGUGCUUCUGCACCGUUUGCACACCCCUUAAGCCGGGCCUGGCGGUUAGGUAGGGUUUCUUAAAGUUUAGGGAUUGUAAUUAGUGGUCCCGAGUUCUACUCCUAUCUCGUCUGUUACGUGUAAUGGCUUCUUUCCGAAAUGUUGAUUUUGAUAAACAUAUAUUUCCAUAAAUCAGUAAACAGCAAAAACAACACAACGAGAUAAAGUAAAAUGAGUACUGUAAGUCUUCUACCAUAUAUCAAACCACAUUGUAUGUAAAUUAUUCAUUUUUGAGAUAUAUACCAUUGCAUCAUAUCAUCAUAUCAUUUUCGUUUCUUUAAAGCUUUGGUUCAGUUAGAGCAUCCACAACAAUGAAGCUGUCAAUUAUGUGUUCUCAUGUAUAAAAUAAAUAAAAAUCAGGAGAGAGCAUGAAAAGCUCUCAUUUGAGAGAUACACUCUACACUCGUCAAUCAAACUUGAUUCAGUAGCUUUUAAAAGUUUAAAAAUAAUUAAAUAAACAAAACAUUAAUAUUUUAAUACUUGAGAGAUUGGUAUCUGUUCUACCACUAAUGAAUGAUGCCCUUAAAAUCAAAUUGUACUAUUGUUUUUCUUAUAUUAAUCCCGGGUAAGAUUUGGCUUUUCAAAAUUGAAUUAACUUCAACAAUAAUACAUUUCGGUUAUUUACUCAGCUGUAUAGAAGUGGUGUGACACAUCACUCUUUUUUUAUUCCCUUUUCUAUGUUUGGUUGGUAACAGAAAGUGAACUGAACAACUUUCGAAUAUAUAAACUACACUCUACACCGCUAUGACUAAGAGCAUCUCCAAUCCAUUGCUAUUUUCACCUCUAUAAUAGCAUUUAGAGGUGAAAUUGCUCCAACCCACCUCUAUUUCUUCCUCUAUAAUAGAGAUCUCUAUUUUUUCUUCUAUUUAUAGAGGAAGAAAUAGCAUUCCUCUAUUUUUUACUCUACAUUUUAGAGAUUGCUAUUUUAGGGGAAUACAUUGGAGCAUAUCUCACCUCUAUUAUAGAGUUCCCCUAUUUUAGAGGUGAAAAUAGCAAAAUACAUUAGAGAUGGUCUAAGACCGUGCAAAGGUCUGCCGUUUCCAGCGAAAGAAUAUUGAUCGGCGUUUUAAAGAGUUUGCAUGUCCUUACGUGAUGACUGACGAAUCAAAUCAACAACAUGAACAGUGACUGUGCAAAGACAUUAAUGUUCAGCCACAUGAACAUUAUCCAACUGUGGAAUUUUAUUCCAACAAAAUAUAAAGUAGCAUGUCUUUUAAUUCUAUAACCAGACGCCAAAACUCUAUAGCUGAAACGCUAACACGACAUGCAAAAAGCCAAGAAAAUAAAGAACUCAGUUUCCUACCAAAAAAACCCAAAAAAGGUCAGGUGGGUACAACAACGAUAUCAGAAGACUCCGGCACCAAUUGAGACAUGAACACCAUAACUACCAUUAGCA